UAUUCUCAACCUUCAAAGCUUUGUUGCAGCGAAGGCUUGGAUUUGGAGGCUGUGUUGGCGCAAGUCGACUCCUCUUAAAUGCAUUAGCGUGACUCAUUACGGAUCGCCUUCAGUGUGAUAAUUGUCUACACUGUGGUGUUGAAGUAUAUACACGAGUCUUCAUGCUUACAAUCGUCUCCUAGCGAGACAAAUACACAUACAUUGACA
Molecule: unclassified non-coding RNA, 207 nt
Filed under: uncultured Phlebia
Lineage: Eukaryota; Fungi; Basidiomycota; Agaricomycetes; Corticiales; Corticiaceae
Description: sequence contains ITS2
Source: RNAcentral